RNAcentral lists this transfer RNA (77 nucleotides) under Shewanella piezotolerans WP3. RNAcentral's name for it is "tRNA-Arg". Lineage: Bacteria; Pseudomonadati; Pseudomonadota; Gammaproteobacteria; Alteromonadales; Shewanellaceae. The record is from RNAcentral.
GUAAAUACCAAAGAUACUCCUUAUCUUGGAUGGCAAGCUUUGCCAGUCAGCAUGUAGAGUUCAAUAUCUCCCAUGUA